RNA transcript from Limulus polyphemus (Atlantic horseshoe crab), 3357 nucleotides. It is a transcript of the gene named H(+)/Cl(-) exchange transporter 3-like, with no coding region annotated. The transcript is spliced from 22 exons. The record is from RefSeq and is a predicted model, not a curated record. NCBI's taxonomy places the organism in Eukaryota, Metazoa, Arthropoda, Merostomata, Xiphosura, Limulidae.
AGUAGUAUGUUCGUUGUCUCCUUCUUCGUUACAUGUAAUUUUGGUGAUCGAUUUUUGGAUUUCGUAUAUAUUUUACGUGAAUGUAAACGCUAUGCCAAGUAACUAUUUAAUUUAAAGUAUACCUAAACCUGUUUUUAAAGCUAUAAAAUGAUUUCCUCCAGAGGAAAUGGAGAUUAUGGAAACUGAUGCCCUUAUCAAAAGAACAGUUGGUCAUAAUGUCAACAUGCCUAGCACUAGGCAAACAAGUUAUCAGUCAAUGAAUGGACCUGAAGGCUCACUUCAGACUUCAACAAGUGAAAAUAGUACAGAAAUAAUAAAAACUUUUCCUCGUUCACACAGCAGUGAUGAUGAAAUGAUUGACAUAACAGGCACGGGAACUACAACAGAAUCCAAUUUGUCUCGUUCGCAGGGUGAGAGAUUCCUGUUUACUAACCCUCAAUAUUAUCGGCCUUCUGAUGUAUUUACAUAUAUCUCCCCUUCUGACCGUGAAUGCAUUGAGCGAGAUAGGCUUACAGCAGGAUCAGAAAUGGAUGAUCUUUCUCCUGGAAUCGGUCAGUAUGAUGAUUUUCACACUAUUGACUGGCAGCGGGACAUAGCUCGUGACAGAAUGAGACAUCGAUACAUAGUCAAGAAAAGAACAGAAUCAAUAUGUGACUUAAUCAGAGGAACUCAUGAUGCAUGGUCUGGGUGGUUAUGUGUUUUACUUGUUGGUGUAGCAGCAGGUGCAGUUGCUGGUGUUAUUGACAUAGGAACACAAUGGAUGAAAGACCUAAAAGAUGGAGUUUGUCCACAAGCUUUUUGGCUAAAUCGAGAACAAUGUUGUUGGUCUUCUAAUGAUACAUUGUAUGAGGAUUACUACUGUGCUCAGUGGUAUACUUGGCCAGAACUGUUAGGAUAUUUUAGGAAAGAUGCCUGGUCCUUCAUCAUUUCUUAUAUUUUGUAUGUAUUGUGGAGCCUUAUCUUUGCUGGCCUUGCUGUCUUGCUUGUUAGAACAUUUGCUCCAUAUGCUUGUGGUUCAGGUAUUCCUGAGAUAAAAACUAUCCUUAGUGGAUUCAUCAUUCGUGGAUACUUGGGUAAGUGGACAUUGGUCAUCAAGUCUGUUGGAAUGAUUUUGGCUGUAGCCUCAGGACUUAGUCUUGGAAAAGAAGGCCCACUUGUACAUGUGGCAUGCUGUAUAGGAAAUAUUUUUUCCUACCUUUUUCCUAAAUAUGGCAAGAAUGAAGCCAAAAAGAGAGAGAUUCUCUCGGCAGCAUCUGCAGCAGGCGUAUCAGUGGCUUUUGGUGCCCCUAUUGGUGGAGUUCUCUUCAGUCUUGAAGAGGUCAGUUAUUAUUUCCCUCUUAAGACAUUAUGGCGGUCUUUCUUUUGUGCCCUGGUGGCAGCUUUUAUUCUUCGGUCCAUCAACCCAUUUGGUAAUGACCACUUGGUAAUGUUUUAUGUGGAAUAUACCAGGAACUGGCUUUUUGUGGAACUAGUUCCUUUCAUCAUACUAGGUAUUUUAGGGGGUCUUGUAGGAACCAUAUUUAUCAAAGGAAAUAUUCGGUGGUGCAGCUACCGGAAGCAGUCUCAGUUGGGGAAGUAUCCAAUAACAGAGGUACUUGUUAUCGCCUGUAUCACUGCUAUUAUCAGUUUUCCAAACACUUAUACUCGCAUGAACACCAGUGAUCUUAUCAAAUUGUUGUUCAGUCAGUGUGGUGUAGCAGAUGUUUCACUUUUGUGUGAUUACAACAGGAACUUCACAAAUGUUAACAGCAGGAUAGAGAUAGCUGAGGCAGGGCCAGGUGUGCAUAAGUCUUUGGGAUUACUAACCUUAGCCUUAAUCUUCAAACUGUGUAUCACAAUUUUUACAUUUGGAAUCAAGGUACCAACUGGUUUGUUUAUUCCAAGUUUGGUCAUGGGUGCCAUAAUGGGUCGAAUGGUAGGAAUUGGUAUGGAACAACUAGCAUACCAUUACCCUCAUCUAUGGGUAUUUCAAGGAGCAUGCUCCACUGGUGAAAAUUGCUUGUCUCCUGGGCUGUAUGCCAUGGUAGGUGCUGCAGCAUGUCUUGGAGGAGUCACAAGAAUGACAGUAUCAUUAGUGGUGAUCAUGUUUGAGUUGACUGGUAGUGUGAAGUAUAUUGUGCCACUUAUGGCUGCUGUCAUGGCAAGUAAGUGGGUAGGAGAUGCUUUUGGAAGAAGAGGAAUUUAUGAUGCCCAUAUUAACUUGAAUGGUUAUCCAUUUCUUGAUAGUAAAGAGGAAUAUACAUAUACAGCAUUAGCUACAGAUAUAAUGACACCCAGGAGGAAUGAGGGUCCUCUUUGUGUCAUUACACAAGAUAGUAUGACUGUGGAUAGUAUUGAGAACGUUCUAAAGUCUACUGACCACAAUGGUUUUCCUGUGGUUGUCUCCCAAGAAUCUCAGUAUUUGGUGGGUUUUGUACUAAGAAAGGAUCUUACAUUAGCAUUGGGUAAUGCCAAAAAGACACAGGAAGGAGUAGUUGGAGAGUCUUAUGUGUUGUUUACUUCUCACUUACCUCAACCUGUGUCAGGUCCUACUGCUGUGAAACUUCGAAAAAUCUUGGAUAUGGCUCCAAUUACGAUCACAGAUCAGACUCCUGUAGAAACAGUCAUUGACAUGUUUUACGACUACUUGGAAUUAUUACAAAGAAGGAUGUUCUGCGGCACAUCAAACAACUUGGCAAUGAAGAUCCAGAAUCUGUGUUAUUUAACUAAAAUAAGAAAGUUAUAUUUAAAAAAGCUUGUGAAUAAUUACUGUAGAUUCUUAAUGGUUGAUGAUUUGUAUAUGUGGAUUCUGCAACUUUGGUCAUCCACUUUUCUGUAAUGCUUUUAUCAUAUAGUCACUGUAGUGCAGUCAGUAGAAAUCUUGUCAUUUGAUAAAGGGAAAGCUUGUCCGCUGGAUGUGACAUAUGCUGUAGAUUUUCUGAAGUUUUUCACAUACGGGUUUUUAGUUUACUGCUGUAUGUUAUGCUAUAUGUGGAGAGUUUUUACAGCUGGAAACAUGCUCAUUAUGAAGUGCAAAACAACUAAGAAUUAUGUACGAAGAUGUGAAUAAAGCAGAUAGUAUUUACCAUACUUGAGGGGAUGUUGUGAUCUACUUUACUUAAAUGUUAGAAGGGUCAGUGACUGCAGUAUCUUUUGAUGGCCAAGUGGAUGAAUAUCUGAAUGUUACAACUGAUGAAUGCUGUGAGAACGAGUUACAAGAUAUCACUGUUGACUGAACAAAGAAACCAAGUUUACUUGUUAGAUUGAAUCUUUAUUGCAUAAUUCAGUUCUAGCUUGGGAUCAGUGAGUUUAGCUCUGCAUAGAUUUAUCUUGAGAGGGAGAAAGCUUUGGACUUAAUCACAAUCUUUUAGAAUGUGU